This 253-nucleotide ribosomal RNA is filed under the name uncultured bacterium. RNAcentral's name for it is "partial 16S ribosomal RNA". It matches the Rfam family "Bacterial small subunit ribosomal RNA", at positions 524 to 776 of the family's 1533-position model. The record is from RNAcentral.
UACGUAGGGCGCAAGCGUUGUCCGGAAUUAUUGGGCGUAAAGAGCUCGUAGGCGGCUUGUCACGUCGGAUGUGAAAGCCCGAGGCUUAACCUCGGGUCUGCAUUCGAUACGGGCUAGCUAGAGUGUGGUAGGGGAGAUCGGAAUUCCUGGUGUAGCGGUGAAAUGCGCAGAUAUCAGGAGGAACACCGGUGGCGAAGGCGGUUCUCUGGGCAUGACCUGACGCUGAGGAGCGAAAGUGUGGGGAGCGAACAGG